RNAcentral lists this unclassified non-coding RNA (152 nucleotides) under uncultured Ascomycota. Its description in RNAcentral is "sequence contains ITS1". Lineage: Eukaryota; Fungi; Ascomycota. The record is from RNAcentral.
CUGAGUGUAAAAACUCCAAAUCCAUGUGAACUUACCACUUGUUGCCUCGGCGCAAGCGUUCUGCCUCCUCCUCGGAGGGGCGGGAACUGCGCCGGUGGACUACUAAACUCUUGUUAAUAUUGGCAUUCUGAAAUAAAAAACUUAAUAAGUUA